Pelobates cultripes (western spadefoot toad) is the source of this 205-nucleotide non-coding RNA. The record is from the annotation of a GenBank genome assembly. Lineage: Eukaryota; Metazoa; Chordata; Amphibia; Anura; Pelobatidae.
GUCACCUGCUAAUUUGUUUUUUAAUACAUGUAUUUAAAAAGAGCAUCAUAUGGAAAAUAAUUAGCACCAGUUACAGGGGAUUUUCAACAUUAAGUUCAAUAGUGUAAGAUAUUAACAGACUUCCAUACAUCUGUUUCUGCGUUACAAAGUUUCAAAUUAUUUUCAAUUAUACCACAAGCAGGGAGGUAAUUAAGGUGUUUAUAUU